CUGACACAGGGAGGUAGUGACAAAAAAUAACUUUAUCGGGCCGUUUUCGGUCUGACUUUAGGAAUGAGAACAAUUUAAAUCCCUUAUCGAGGAUCAAUUGGAGGGCAAGUCUGGUGCCAGCAGCCGCGGUAAUUCCAGCUCCAAUAGCGUAUAUUAAUGUUGUUGCAGUUAAAAAGCUCGUAGUUGGAUUUCUGGUCGGAACGCCGGUCCGGCUCCGCAAGGGGUCGUGUAUUGGUUUCUCCUGCCAUCCUCAGGGGGAGUUGCGCUGGCAUUCAUUUGUCGGCGUAGCGACGCCUGUCGUUUACUGUGAACAAAUUAGAGUGUUCAAAGCAAGGUGUACUUGAAUACAUUAG
RNAcentral lists this ribosomal RNA (353 nucleotides) under uncultured dictyochophyte. RNAcentral's name for it is "SSU rRNA". It matches the Rfam family "Eukaryotic small subunit ribosomal RNA", at positions 451 to 807 of the family's 1831-position model. Lineage: Eukaryota; Dictyochophyceae. The record is from RNAcentral.